GGUCUUGGAGGGGUAGGAUAUGGAAGAAAUAGUGGGGCAAGUAUUGUGCCAUUUUCAUCUCAUGCUGCAUCACAAGAUGAUUAUGGUGGGCCUUAUGCAGACAUUUAUGAUAAUGGCCCCUUGUACAGGGAUUCUGCAUGGCCAUCUUUUCCUUUAGAGCUAGAGGGUUCUGGCUCAUUUGAUUUUGGGCUUGGAAAUGCAGCUACAGAUGCUGUGACUAAAAACUCUGCUGGUUAUGGUGGUGGUUAUAGUGUUACCAAUAGACAAGCAAAUAGAGGCAUUGCUGCUUAGGAUGAUUAUGAUGUGAAUGUCAAGAGGUUAUUUAGAGUGCGGUCACAAGGAAUUCUGUGUAAGGUUUGAGCUUUGAGGUUUUUAUGGUA
Molecule: unclassified non-coding RNA, 380 nt
Filed under: Hevea brasiliensis (rubber tree)
Lineage: Eukaryota; Viridiplantae; Streptophyta; Magnoliopsida; Malpighiales; Euphorbiaceae
Source: RNAcentral